UACGGGGGGGGCAAGCGUUGUUCGGAAUUACUGGGCGUAAAGGGUUUGUAGGUGGCUUGCUAAGUCAGACGUGAAAUCCCUCAGCUUAACUGGGGAACUGCGUCUGAGACUGGCGAGCUUGAGUGCAGGAGAGGAACGCGGAAUUCCAGGUGUAGCGGUGAAAUGCGUAGAUAUCUGGAGGAACACCGGUGGCGAAGGCGGCAUCCUGGACCAACACUGACGCUGAGGAGCGAAAGCCAGGGGAGCAAACGGG
RNAcentral lists this ribosomal RNA (253 nucleotides) under uncultured bacterium. Its description in RNAcentral is "partial 16S ribosomal RNA". It matches the Rfam family "Bacterial small subunit ribosomal RNA", at positions 524 to 776 of the family's 1533-position model. The record is from RNAcentral.